GCAAACUCCACUGCUAUUAGAUGCUCUAGAAAAAUUACAACCUUUAGGGUUAAAUUUAAAGGCGUUGACAUUAUCAACAGUGUAUGGUUUUGCUGAUCGACAUGGACAUCUGCAAGUGCCUUGAUGAACUGAUUAUCUAUGUGGGCUUGAGCCACUUAAUGAAAAGGAUUGUGAAACUGAGAGUCCAAACGUCACAGAUGAAUUGCGAGUCAUUGUAGUCGGAGACAAUCCAGUUCGAUUAGCUUAGCG
RNAcentral lists this unclassified non-coding RNA (249 nucleotides) under Hevea brasiliensis (rubber tree). Lineage: Eukaryota; Viridiplantae; Streptophyta; Magnoliopsida; Malpighiales; Euphorbiaceae. The record is from RNAcentral.